RNAcentral lists this ribosomal RNA (497 nucleotides) under uncultured bacterium. Its description in RNAcentral is "partial 16S ribosomal RNA". It matches the Rfam family "Bacterial small subunit ribosomal RNA", at positions 28 to 507 of the family's 1533-position model. The record is from RNAcentral.
GAUGAACGCUGGCGGCGUGCCUAAUACAUGCAAGUCGAGCGAACAGACGAGGAGCUUGCUCCUCUGACGUUAGCGGCGGACGGGUGAGUAACACGUGGAUAACCUACCUAUAAGCCGGGGAUAACUUCGGGAAACCGGAGCUAAUACCGCAUAAUAUCUUUAACCACAUGGUUCAAUAGUGAAAGACGGUUUUGCAUCCCCUAAUAAAUGUAUCCCCUCCGCUUAAGUUAGUUGUUAAGGUAACGGCUUACCAAGGCAACGAUGCGUAGCCGACCUGAGAGGGUGAUCGGCCAAACUGGAACUGAGACACGGUCCAGACUCCUACGGGAGGCAGCAGUAGGGAAUCUUCGGCAAUGGGCGAAGUCCUGACGGAGCAAGGCCGCGUGAGUGAUGAAGUUCUUCGGAUCGUAAAACUCUGUUAUUAGGGAAGAACAAAUGUGUAAGUAACUAUGCACGUCUUGACGGUACCUAAUCAGAAAGCCACGGCUAACUACGUG